Fundulus heteroclitus (mummichog) is the source of this 503-nucleotide long non-coding RNA. RefSeq lists it as uncharacterized. NCBI's taxonomy places the organism in Eukaryota, Metazoa, Chordata, Actinopteri, Cyprinodontiformes, Fundulidae. The record is from RefSeq and is a predicted model, not a curated record. The transcript is spliced from 2 exons.
GUCAAACUGGACACAACUGCCAAGGAAGCAAGGGCUCGCCUAAAGGACGUGGACGUUGGAUUAGGAGCAGAAGAAGUCCUAAAGGUGAUGUGAUUGUCCAACAAUUUGGAAAUUUCUUGUCUCUGGAGGCGAAAGAUGAAUCAUUCUCCUCUUUCCAACCCAUGCGUACAAGACUGGACGUUUUCUUGCAUGGACACCUCCAUCAAUCCUACCCUGAACUCUGGACUUUCUGCAGGAAACUUCUGCUUCUUUCCCAUGGCCAAGCAACAGUUGAGAGGGGCUUUUCUGUAAAUAAGGAGGUAGAGGCUGAUAACAUGAAGGAGGACACAGUGGUUGCUCAGAGGAUGAUAUGUGACUACGUUUCUGUCUGUGGGGGGGUUCUCAAAGUACCUCUGACUAAGGAGCUUUUGGCAGCUGCAGCGUCAGCUAGGUCUCAAUAUCGGCUACAUCUGGACCAGGAAAAGAGAAAGCAUGCGAGCAAUGCUCAAAGAGAAAAGAGAAAA